RNAcentral lists this non-coding RNA (24 nucleotides) under Rattus norvegicus (Norway rat). The record is from RNAcentral. Lineage: Eukaryota; Metazoa; Chordata; Mammalia; Rodentia; Muridae.
UCCAGUGUGGGUGUAAUCUGGUGU